RNAcentral lists this small RNA (29 nucleotides) under Bombyx mori (domestic silkworm). RNAcentral describes it as "ovarian small RNA-23453". The record is from RNAcentral. Lineage: Eukaryota; Metazoa; Arthropoda; Insecta; Lepidoptera; Bombycidae.
UAUAUUGCUUGCUUGACUUACAGAUAAAU